Molecule: unclassified non-coding RNA, 247 nt
Filed under: uncultured Pleosporales
Lineage: Eukaryota; Fungi; Ascomycota; Dothideomycetes; Pleosporales
Description: sequence contains 5.8S rRNA gene
Rfam family: 5.8S ribosomal RNA (bases 1-53)
Source: RNAcentral
GAACGCACAUUGCGCCCCUUGGUAUUCCAUGGGGCAUGCCUGUUCGAGCGUCAUUUGUAUCUUAAGCUUUGCUUAGUGUUGGGUGAUUGUCUGUAUGUAUUGCAGACUCGCCUUGAAUCUAUUGGCCGCCGAUAGUCUAGUAUGCGAGCGCAGCACAUUUGCGCACCGUACCCGUCUUAUUAGCCACCAUCAAGUACAAUAUCAACGUUUGACCUCGGAUCAGGUAGGGAUACCCGCUGAACUUAAG